Sitodiplosis mosellana (orange wheat blossom midge) is the source of this 2296-nucleotide RNA transcript. It is a transcript of the gene named polypeptide N-acetylgalactosaminyltransferase 1-like, with no coding region annotated. NCBI's taxonomy places the organism in Eukaryota, Metazoa, Arthropoda, Insecta, Diptera, Cecidomyiidae. The record is from RefSeq and is a predicted model, not a curated record. The transcript has 9 exons.
AAUAGUUUUGUGUUCGCGUUCGACACAAGAACUCGCUCAAGUAAAAGUAUUUUUUUUCAUUGGAAUAUUAAUACCAAUAACCAUCCAAUCGGCUACACAAUAUUCUAUUCUCUUGCAUUUUUCAUCGUUGUUGUGGUACAAAUCAAAGCAAAUUAUUCUUCAGAAUAUCUCCAGUAAAAUAGUAGUUAUCGUUCCUUUUACAAUGAUAAACAGUGACGCACAUUAUGCAAGCCCUAAAAAUGUAUUCGCUCAUAGUAGAAAUGGAGCACUAUGUUCACCAUUUCGUAAAAAAGUAAUAAUUUCGAUUGUGUUAUUUGUGCUGCUCUAUAAUUACUAUAGGGUGAGACAAAUUGUUACCAUUGAAAGACCGGUGAAUUCAAUCCAGGUUCGAGAACCUCCAAACGAUGACAGUUUGCGUAUGGGCUGGUCAUUCAAUAUAUCACGAAAUUAUGAUGAUCAUUUGCUGUGUAAAUGGACCGAACCGAUUGUAAACCCAAAUGCAACGAAUCCAUCAGAUCGUGGAGAGUACGGAAAGGCAUUCGUUCCAAGAAAAGACGAAGAAGAAUUGAUGGAACAACUCAAACAACAGCAUAAAUACAAUGUGUUUGCAUCGAAAAAGAUUUCAGUGCGUCGCAGUUUGCCAGACCAUCGGUAUCCCGAAUGUCGUAAAAUAAUUUAUCCAACCAUAUUGCCCACAACGAGUGUUAUCAUCGUAGUUCAUAAUGAGAUUUUGGAGACUCUAUUGCGUACUAUUUGGAGUAUUGUUGACCGUUCACCGCCCGAGCUCGUGAAAGAAAUAAUUUUGGUAGAUGAUGCAAGCACAUGGGCAGAAUAUAAUGAUUUAAGUGAUCAUAUUCCCGAGUUGCCCAUCCCAGUUAGAUUUAUUCGAAAUGGAAAACGUGAAGGACUAAUACGAGCACGUCUUAUAGGAGCGAAAAAUGCAAAGGGAAGCGUUCUCACAUUUAUUGAUGCUCAUAUGGAAUGUACUGAAGGAUGGCUACAACCGAUUCUCUCUCGUAUUGCAAGUGAUCGCUUUGUUGUUGCUGUGCCUUUACUUGAUGCUAUCAGUUCCGAUGACAUGGCAUACAAACCAUCUGCGACUACAUUUAUAAAUGGUCUCCGUUGGUACUUGAUAUUCGAAUGGAUGGAAGUUCCGGAAAGGGAGUUGAAUCGCACCGGACACGAUAGAACAGCCCCAGUGCGAACGCCGACGCAUGUUGGUUGUGCUUUCGCAAUUGAUCGCCAAUUCUUCUUUGAAAUUGGCUCGUAUGACGAAGGGAUGGACAUUUGGGGAUCUGAAAAUGUAGAACUUGCUUUUAGGACAUGGCAAUGUGGUGGAUCCUUGGAAGUCAUACCUUGUUCGCGCGUUGGCCAUCUGUACAGAAUAUCCACAUAUUCCUUCAAUGGCGAUGAUAAGGAAAUAGUAACAACGAGAAACAACAGAAGAUUAAUUGAUGUGUGGAUGGACGAAUAUGCGGCGUAUAUUUAUGCGGCCUAUCCUCAAUGGAAGAAAGUUUCAGCAGGAAAUCUCACAAACCGAUUGAACUUGAAAAAGCAGCUAAAGUGCAAACCAUUCCGCUGGUAUUUGGAGAAUAUUUACCCUGAAAGUUUGUGGCUGAGAGAAUACAUAUCUAUAGGCCAAAUUAAAAGAGCCUCCACGAACAAAUGCUUGGAUGCACACCCAUCAAACUAUUAUUAUUCAUGCCAUGGAAUGAGUGGGAAUCAACUUUUCUUAUUUUCGAAAAAUGGUCAAAUUUUGACGGUCGAGAAAUCUUGUGUGAGCCUUUCCAACGAUCAUAAAUCCAUUAUGUUGAGGCCAUGUUUGGAUAAAGAUAAUCUGCAGAUAUGGACGUAUGAACGUGAAAAACAAUCGAUUUGCCUCAAUUCAUUUGGCUUAUGCAUCCGAAGCAAUGGGGACAACGUUACCGUAGACGAAUCGACUAAUGCAGAUGACAAGAGAUUUAAGUGGGAACUAAGCUCGAAUCUAUGAACUAUAAAUGAUGUUGAUUGACUGGAAGUUAUUAAAAUUCUGACCAAUGUAAAAAUGUUCGAAUAAAAACUCACUACCAACCAUAAUGUAUUAGCCAAGAUUUUGAAAAAUUGAGUCUGAAGAACAGAACAAAAAAAUCAACCGAAGAACAUUGGAAGGAUUUCGUGUUCUGGAAAUACAAUUUUAAACGGAAAAAUCAAUUUUGAAAUCGCAUUCGACUGUAAACUAGGCUUAAGCCAAUCAUGCCAAUGCUAACUUGAAGCAAAGGAUAAAUGAAAUCGAAAUAUAAUAUAAACGAUCAUUGUA